Molecule: small nuclear RNA, 327 nt
Filed under: Notechis scutatus (mainland tiger snake)
Lineage: Eukaryota; Metazoa; Chordata; Lepidosauria; Squamata; Elapidae
Description: 7SK RNA (ENSNSUG00000003341.1)
Rfam family: 7SK RNA
About the family: 7SK was discovered as an abundant small nuclear RNA in the mid-70s but a possible function has only recently been suggested.
Source: Rfam by way of RNAcentral
GGUUGUGAGGGCGAUCUGGCUGCGACAUCUGUCACCCCAUUGAUCGCCAGGGUUGAUUCGGCUGAUCUGGCUGGCUAGGCGGGUGUCCCCUUCCUCCCUCACAGCUCCAUGUGCGUCCCUCCCGAAGCUGUGCGCUCGGUGGAAGAGGACGACCAUCCCAGAUAGAAGGAGUGUACUGAUCUUCGGUCAAGGGUAUAUGAUAGCUGCGCUCCCCUGCUAGAACCUCCAAACUAUGGGCCAGUUACUCUCUUUCAGACGAACCCACCUCACAAGGUUGUUGCGGGGAAAAUAGGAGGAGGAAAAUGUGUUGGAUGUAAUCAGUGCCUU